RNAcentral lists this transfer RNA (72 nucleotides) under Ovis aries (sheep). It matches the Rfam family "tRNA". From Rfam's summary of the family: Transfer RNA (tRNA) molecules are approximately 80 nucleotides in length. Their secondary structure includes four short double-helical elements and three loops (D, anti-codon, and T loops). Lineage: Eukaryota; Metazoa; Chordata; Mammalia; Artiodactyla; Bovidae. RNAcentral also lists the same sequence under 1 other name. The record is from Rfam by way of RNAcentral.
UCCCAGGUGGCUCAGUGGUAAAGAAUCUGCCUUCCAAUGCAGAAGACAUGGGUUCAAUCCCUGAUCUGGGAA